GCAGGUAUUGUAUAAUGGUAUUACUCUAGCCUUCCAAGCUGGAAAUGCGGGUUCGAUUCCCGCUACCUGCUCCA
RNAcentral lists this transfer RNA (74 nucleotides) under Enterobacteriaceae endosymbiont of Donacia dentata. RNAcentral describes it as "tRNA-Gly". It matches the Rfam family "tRNA". Rfam says of the family: Transfer RNA (tRNA) molecules are approximately 80 nucleotides in length. Their secondary structure includes four short double-helical elements and three loops (D, anti-codon, and T loops). The record is from RNAcentral. Lineage: Bacteria; Pseudomonadati; Pseudomonadota; Gammaproteobacteria; Enterobacterales; Enterobacteriaceae.